UGGAGGGCAAGUCUGGUGCCAGCAGCCGCGGUAAUUCCAGCUCCAAUAGCGUAUAUUAAAGUUGUUGCAGUUAAAAAGCUCGUAGUUGAAUUUCGGGGUUCAUACGUUGGUCGGGCUUUUUGGUCUGUACUAGCGUAAUGGAUUCCUACCUUCUGAAUAACCGGCAUGCCAUUAAUUUGGUGCGCCGGGGAAGCAGGACUGUUACCUUGAAAAAAUUAGAGUGCUUAAAGCAGGCUAUCGCCUGAAUACAUUAGCAUGGAAUAAUGAAAUAGGACGGCAUGGUUCUAUUUUGUUGGUUUCUAGGAUCACCGUAAUGAUUAAUAGGGAUAGUUGGGGGCAUUAGUAUUCAAUUGUCAGAGGUGAAAUUCUUGGAUUUAUUGAAGACUAACUUCUGCGAAGGCAUUUGCCAAGGAUGUUUUCAUUAAUCAAGAACGAAAGUUAGGGGAUCGAAGACGAUCAGAUACCGUCGUAGUCUUAACCAUAAACUAUGCCGACUAGGGAUCGGACGAUGUUAAUUUUUUAAUGACUCGUUCGGCGCCUUACGGGAAAC
RNAcentral lists this ribosomal RNA (550 nucleotides) under uncultured Glomus. RNAcentral's name for it is "SSU rRNA". It matches the Rfam family "Eukaryotic small subunit ribosomal RNA", at positions 549 to 1098 of the family's 1831-position model. Lineage: Eukaryota; Fungi; Glomeromycota; Glomeromycetes; Glomerales; Glomeraceae. The record is from RNAcentral.